GACGAACGCUGGCGGCGUGCCUAAUACAUGCAAGUUGAGCGCUGACGGCUGGUACUUGUACCAACUGGAUGAGCAGCGAACGGGUGAGUAACGCGUGGGGAAUCUGCCUUUGAGCGGGGGACAACAUUUGGAAACGAAUGCUAAUACCGCAUAAAAACUUUAAACACAAGUUUUAAGUUUGAAAGAUGCAAUUGCAUCACUCAAAGAUGAUCCCGCGUUGUAUUAGCUAGUUGGUGAGGUAAAGGCUCUACACGGCGAUGAUACAUGGCAGACCUGAGAGGGGAAUCGGCCAAGUUGGGACGGGGACAUGGCCCAAAACCCUACGGGAGGGAGCAGGAGGGAAUCUUUGGCGAGGGAAGAAAGGCUGACCGAUCGACGCCGCGUGAGAGAAUAAUGCUUUCGGGUCGUAAAACUCUUUUAGGAGAGAGGAUCGUUGGUGAGAGUGGAAAGCUCAUAAAGUGACGGUAACUAGCCAGAAAGGGACGGCUAACUACGUG
RNAcentral lists this ribosomal RNA (497 nucleotides) under uncultured bacterium. Its description in RNAcentral is "partial 16S ribosomal RNA". It matches the Rfam family "Bacterial small subunit ribosomal RNA", at positions 28 to 507 of the family's 1533-position model. The record is from RNAcentral.